RNAcentral lists this long non-coding RNA (856 nucleotides) under Piliocolobus tephrosceles (Ugandan red Colobus). RNAcentral describes it as "lncRNA (ENSPTEG00000003272.1)". The record is from RNAcentral. Lineage: Eukaryota; Metazoa; Chordata; Mammalia; Primates; Cercopithecidae.
UGAAGACCGCCGCCUCCUCCCACGGCCCGCACCGUCGAGUGUCCGGAGCUGGACGGGAGAAGCUGCCACAGAGGCAUGGCCUUAUUUCCUGCGAGUCGCCUUUAAUUCAAACCUAGACAGACGCACGCCCUGCCCGGCCCUCCUCAGACCCGAGAGCUGCUCUGUGAGGGGACGCGCCUCUCCUCAUUGAAGAGAAUUCGCUGCCACGCGUUUUGCACAGUAGAGAGGCAACUCUACCACGUGGACAAAGGCAACAACUUCUGACCCCUGUGGAUAGCUUUGGCUUCGUGCACCGGGGAGACAAGAAACUGCCCACGGCCUCCAGUCCUCAGUGGCCCCCACCCAACAGCCUCCUCUUCAUCCACGCAAUGGGGCUUCAGGUCAGACGAGUCGGACUCCUUUGGUCCCUACAGGGGUAAUUCUAAGGACAGUAGGUUCUGGAAACCUUUUUCCUGCUGCGUUCUAAGGUAAUUAAUUAAACACAUUCCAGGCUUUCACACUGUCUGAGGAAGGGAGUCCGGGGCAGCUGUCAUUUUGGGUCAGAGUUCACACUGAGUGUUCCUAGCAGAGGAUUUGGGACAAAGCAAUAUAGCUCUUCCUGUAAAUCAGUGAUUCUCCAACACAAGCUGAAUUAGAAGCAUCAUAAGGGUGUUUGUUUUAGGACAUAGAUACUUGCAUUCUCAUCCCAGAGUUUCUAGUUCAGGGGACCUGGAAUGGGGCUGAGAGCUUGCAUUCCUGCCAAGUUCCAAGGGGAUAUGGGUGCUUCUGGGCAGGAUCUCAUUCUGGAGAACCUCUGCUCGAGCUGAAAGGGGACACAUGAUUAUCAAGUUUUCCUUUUUUUGUUUUUUUGAGACAG